GUGUCCUGGAAAUGCUGAGAAUGGAGAUGGAACCCCAAUUUCUCCGCCAACUCAGAGGCCAUUGCUUAGGCUGCCCUGGGAGACUUGCUUGUCUUUGAAACCAUGAGCCUCUUAUGGACAAGAGAAGCCCUGUCACGAGCUUUAACACAAUGGAACCAGCUUAUUCUUGAGGUAGUGAGUUUCCUGUCUCUGGAUGUAUUUAAGCAAAGACUGAACAGUCACCUAGCAGGCAUGUUGUUGACUGGACUUUUCAUGGGGUGGAGGCAUAGACUCGAUGGCCUCUUCCAACUUUGAGAGUCCUUAAACCUCUGAUAUCCCCUUUGCUUGUAUGAGUCAGUGCCUAAAUGUCCACCACUGCAGAAGGCAAAUCUCUCUCUUUCUCAAAUUACUCUUGAGGGAGCAAAUGCUAACAAUUCUCACUGGAGUGUUAAUGCCUCAAAAGGUUUUCUCUUCUGAAAGUGGUCAUGAUUAGGGGAGCUUGGCUGGGCUUCAGCUCACUCCUAGCUCAGUCAACUCUUCCAAAUUAGCUAACCGUCUCAGUGAAGCCAGUGUGGUUACUCUGCAGGCCAGCUUUAAGACAAAUUCUCUAGUUCUGAAAAACAGAUUCCCAAGGCCUCUGAUGCAAUACUGAUUCAAUAGGUCUGAGGUAGGAUUAUAAAAAUGUUUCCAGGUGAUUCUGAGGGUCAGCCUGAUUUGGGAACACUUUGCUAAGCUUUGCCUCAACCCAAUGCCCAAGGAGCAAGUGGGAGGAUUAUUCUGACCUCAGUCUGUCAAGCUUGUAGAUUUCCAUGGGAUGCUCUUGUUCUGAUCCAGGGUUAAGGCACCAUUGUGCUGAGAGCACAACUCACCACUGUCGCCUGCCCUCAGCCUCUCCCAACAGAAACAGCAUGGAAGUGGAAGAGUUUGAAAAAGAACAAGGUGCUACAAACAAGUCAGGAAUUUGUUCUGCAGGCCUGUCAAGUCUAUAAAUAUCUAGAAUCCUGCUUACCAAGUAUUGGUGUGAGGGUUGAUGAUGAAACCGAUGCUCACAGAGUUGAAAUAAGCUGCUGAAGGUCAUGCAGUGACAAUGGGAAGAAGGAAAUAACCUGAGAGAGUGCACACCAAUCAUUUCAACGGCAAAAUCCAAAAGUGGCACACAUCGUUUCAGAUCCCAUCCCAUUGGUUGGGACAUAGUCACUGGUUUCACAUAGCUGCAAGAAAGGAUGGAAAAUGAAGUCGUUACCUGGACAGCUGAGCUAUGUGCUCAGCUAAAACUGAGAAAAGGGAUUUGGGGGCACAAUUAGCAAUCUGCCACAGCCUCCAAUGAAGGUCUUGGAAUCCAGAAGGUUGGCAAUCCAGAAGAGCAUUGUACAGCUGCCCCUUCAUUCUAUAAUUCCUGUCUCACUCAACUUUGAGCCUUUGAGAUGUCAGCAUUGGAAACGUUAGAGUCAGAUAGUGAAAGCUUUGCUAAUUUGACAAGGAAUGAAGGUUCAUUAAACUUCUAAAUGUGGCAUUUUUAUAGGUUAUGGCCAAACUGAAGUUGGCCAAGCGUGAAUAUCAUUAGCUGCAGUUUUGUUUGUACUCCAUAGUAUGUUGUUCCUCUCUCUCUCUCUCUCCCUCCCUCUCCUUAUCUACAUUUUCUUUCUGUUUUUGGGACUCUCCUUUUUGCAUCGAUAGGUACUCAAGAAAAAAAUUCAGGGUUUCAGUUGGAAAAAACAAGUUUUAAAGUAGAAUUUUCAACAAGACGCCUAAUGAACGGUGGUCUAUUCGCACAGCUGAACACCCUACUCACAAAUCUCUUUCUCUUAUAGAUUUGUGAGGAACAGGAGGUUAUAUUCUCUGCAUGGGAUUUUGCUUCUGGGCUAGGGUUGACUGCAAGUUUAUUGGAAUGAGCACUACGUUUUGUUUUGUUUUCACCAUAAGGGACUUCUGCAAGGAGCCCCAGUGCUCAUCACGUGCUGUGAGGAAAAUGGAGAGAGUUUGCAGAACAGUUCUCUCCCUUCAUUCAAAAUUAGGUUCAAGCUGAGAACCGCUGGUGAUUUUUCAAGUCCUGUUUUGGAUGAAAUAAGCAGACAUGUUUGAAUUAAUUAAUGUUGUAAGGCGACUCUUAGCACUGAGACUGAGCUAGUGCCUGAUAGAAGGAGCGCUGAGCCAGGAAUCACAAAACCCCUGUCCUAGCCUUGGCAUCGCCACCAACUCCUUGUGGGACCAUGAACAAAUCGCCAACAUUUCUGUGCCUUCGUUCCCCACUUACAUAAAUACAGAGAUAUUUGCACUUCUAGAAGAAGAAUGGUUGUGUCGAUACUCUGGUGUGACUUUGUUAUGAUAACACAGGAAGACUGAGGUGCAGUGGGCCCUUGCGAAUCAUCCUCCCCUCCAUGAACCAGGUGGAAUAGACCAUUCCCUUCUCAGAGACCCCUGGACCCUACAUCCUAGUACCCUAUACUAUAAGUCCUGCAAUAUUUGGUGGCUUAUAUUUUAUUUAUGGGUCUGCUUUCCCAUGGGCUUCUUAAAGAGUGUGCAUUUCUCAUUUGAUCGCUACAGUGCCUACUACUGUGGUUGGCACUUGAUAUUGGAUAAAUGAAUGAAAUAAAGCACACCCAAAGUUAGAUGGCUGGUCAGGGGCUGGUUAGUGGCUGGUUAGGGCUGGGUCAAGUCUGGUUACUCCCAGACCAGUCUUUUGCAUAUUUGACCUCUCCCUACUCUCAAGAAUAAGGGUGAAAUAGGACAUCAAACGUAAGAAGUGCUCACGCUCUGGAGAUUCUGGUGCAGGAGAGGAGUGGUUUCCUCUGCUCAGGCUUGUUCUGCUAUUUCAGCCUCUUGGUCCUUAAUGACGGUUUAUUCUCAUAGCACACUUCUCUCUCUCUUUUACCUCAAGAAUCUCUGCUUGGGAUAGAGGUGGGCAGAGGUUGGGCAGAGGUGCCUCAAGCCAAACCAAGGAGGAAGAUAUUGCACUGGGGCUCAGAGUACUUCAGAGGAGCUUUUGAUGUCGAAAUCCAAAGCGCACGAUAUCUGCUCUCCAGGGUGAGGGCUAACAUCAUCUCUCCAAGAUGAGGCUUGCAGCAGCUGCCCUAAGAAGGCAGAAUGUCUCACACCCUCGGAAUUAGACACUAGACACCAAGAGGCCUAUGGCUGGGGCUGUCUCUCAGGUCUUCACCUGACACUGCUCUGUCUGCUUAAGAAUGGGCUCCAUGGGGGCCGGCCCAUGGCUGAGUGGUUAAAGUUCCUCACACUCUGCUUCUGCAGCCCAGGUUCCCGGGUUCAGAUCCCAGGUGCAGACCUACUCCACUCAUCAGCCAUGCUGUGGAAGCAUCCCACAUACAAAAAGUAGAGGAAGAUUGGUGCAGAUGUUAUCUCAGGGCCAAUCCUCCUCACCAACAAAACAAAAAGAAGAAGAAGAAGAAGAAGAAGAAGAAGAAAAAGAAUGGGGUUCAUGCUCUGGUAGUCAAAAUAAGCACGCAAGACAGGGAAGGACAGAGGCCAGAGCCUCAAGAGGUCCUGAAAGGGGCUGCUUUUAGCACAUGGAGGGGAAUGAGAACCAAAGCCACAGCAACAGGCAUAGGAGGAAGGAAGGCUGCUGUGGGGUCACUGGGAGAAAGGCUUCCUGCCAUUGUCUGGCCACACGGGGUGGGUUGCAAAUAAAAAUAGGUGGAAUUCGAAGACUGCUUGUGUGCAUCUGGAGUCAGCUCCAUGCAGAGAAUCCAUUUGUGCUGUGAUUGGGGGCCGUGCAGAAAUGACUCAGGGCAUUUUAGCCCUGUGCAUAUGGGAUUCGGAGAUCGGCAGAGACCCAAGGAGAGAGAUUGAUAAACUCCAACCACACUCUGAGCCGUCGAAAGAAGAGUUGCUCAGCCUGUGAGUCCUAGCCAGCGAUGUUUGAUAGAACAGAGAACCACGCAAUACAAAACACUAGAGUCUGACACAACACCGAGGGCCAGGCACGGAGGCCUCAAUGUGCUGUUUCAUCCAAGCUGCACAGGGGCAGAAAGCCAGGUUCUGAAGGAUUCUUAGGUUCUCAUUCUUCUUGCCUAAGAUUUAUUGAUAGUUUAGAGAUGGCUAUUUGGGGAUCUUGUAUUCCCUGGCACCUUUUUUCUCUUUAUUUAAAAUUUUUUUUAAUUUUCUAUUAUGGAAAAUGUCAACUAUGUAUACAAAAAUAAACAUCAUAAUCUAAUGGACCCCUAUGUUCCCAUCAACCACCUUCAACAAUUAUCAACCCAUGGCCACACUUGUUUCAUCGGUACCCUCAUCUACUUUCUCCAUAUCACUUGGAAAAAAAUUAAGACAUCAUAUAAUUUCAUCUAAAAUAUUUCAUGUUAUAUUUCUAAAACAUAAGGACUCUUUAUAAAAAAACAUAGCUAUUCCAUUAUGAUGCCUAAAAAAAAUUAGGAUUCUGUAAUGUCAUCAAAUAUACAGUAAGUGUUCAAAUUUCCAAUUCCUUACGUCUAACCAUGUCUUCCUCAUAGUUCCCCUCAGACUCACUCCAUCCCCCAUCCAGAGAGAAAAUCAAGGCAGACUUAUCAUGCAAAGAAAGAAGCUCUGAUGCCCUGGCCCUUUUGUUUCCACCCUAUAGUAAUGGAACAAACACGUGGUGUGCCAGGAACAGAGAAGGCAACCCCCAAAUUGGAAGCAAGCACAUUGGCAACAUAAAGAGAAAGUAACUGACAAAUCCCUAAUUCUGGAAGAUACCCAGAGAGGCUGGGCCUGGAGCCAGGAGCUUAACAAGUUUCCAUUGUUAUUGGCAGCCGACAAAUUUAGAAGCAGACAGGGGACCUUCUUAUCACGGGGAAUUUUGUUAGCUGAGGCUGUAUGCAUUUAAAAAGCACAAUCAACCUGUAGUGAGCUAAGGGAUUAAACAUGAUUUUUCUCAACUUGAAUGACCCCUCUCCCUAAAUUAAGCUGCCUAUUUAGCGCCCUUAAUAAAUACAUAGAUAAUUUAAACCAUGUGGCAGCAAAUUGAAAACACGGGCUUUUUGAACUAUGUAUUUUCUUUCUCAUGUUGGAACAUUUCCCUUGAGAAAAUCUCAGGUCUCAUGAUUAUGGAAAAGAAAAGAUCUGUAUAUCUUUCUGAUUAAGUGUUUCAUGAUACACACAUACACGUUGAUCAAGUUUUUUCUUCUUUCUUGGCUAAAGUGAAGCAUAUGCUUCUGACAAAAGUGUUCCAUCGACACUUCUUUGGCCGCUGCACGGUCUAUUUGUCAACAAAACAAAAUGUGAAAGGAUUAUAUUUCUGUAAAAGUAAUUACAUUUCAAAGUGGCUUGUUGUGAUAUACCAUGUGGCAUUACGUUGACCCAAGAUGCUGUUUUCUGCCCAGUUGUUAGAAGUAAUGAUCUGUACUUACAAGUCGGUAAAAUAUUCAACUAUGUAUCUUCUCUGGUGCUUGAUUGGGGACAAUAAUAUUCCUUGCUGGACUACCUGGAGGUUUGAACUGAAUGCUCUGACAUGCCCGUUUUCAGAUAUUUAUACUCACCUACUAAUUUAAAAUACAGUCUACACACACAUACACACACACACACAAAUAUUUACUUUAACAUUAGGAAUCUUGAUUUGGAUCAAAAAACAUUAUAAGGUGACAAAGAUAUUCUUUAUAAUUUCUGUAUGAUUUCCCCCUCUCCUUGAAUUAAUGAGUCGCAUCAAAGAGUGUCUCAACUUUUAGAAGCUUUGUUACAAUUUGGUUUGACCUCUUUUAUGUAUGUCCAAAAAAAAGGCCCAUAAGCAGUUUUCCGUGCUCAUGGGCCCAUGGGAUUUAUCUGGUCUCUUCAUCUUCUCUGUGGUCAGAGUAUUUUCUGAGACAGUCUUCACCACAAAUUCUCUAGAGAUAAAGUCUGCAGCUUCCCUUCCGAUUCCCAGCUUGUGACCCUGCCCAUUAUCAAGCAACGAGUCUGAGACAAAAUUAGAUAGUAAGUCAAAUCUUGAAAUUCCAAUUUUAAACUGUAUUGACUUUCUCCUGCUACAGAUGUGACAAAUGAAAGUAUCCUAUCAGUAGACCAUUCUCGGCUUCUGCUAAGACACCCAGGAUAUUUCAAGAAGGGGAGAUUCCGCCACCCAAAGGUGGGGUGGGGUGGGGAAUAUUCACAUAGGCAAAUUUCAUCUGGUUAAAACUUUUUGUUUUCUCUUGAAAGAUGAACAUCGAAAAACAAGUCUUCAAGGCCAGACUUUAUCAGGACACAAAAGCCUAAUUGUCUGAUAAAGCAUGUGCAGACACAAGAACGCUGGCCUUUGAGUCCAUUAAAUAGUAACAUGCCAUGGGGCUGGCACCCCCAUUUGAAUUAGUUCUCUGAGUGUCCACUGCCUGACUUCUCUGCGCUGACUGUCUGAUGUCGGGAAUCAAUGGUAUCAUUUGAAGGAGCCAGUCUUUCAGAUGGAAGCAUGAAAGCUUCUUAGGAAGCCUUUAUACUGUAUUAGUUUGUAAAUCUAAAUAUUGCAUGCAGUUCUUGGUUCAACAAUGCUCCUCUUUCUCUAUAAUUUACUGAAACUAAUUGGAUACAGGACACAGCUAGCUGGUGGGCAAGUUGAGAUGUUUCAGCUAGCUUCUGAGGCAGUACAUGGCAGAAGAAAGCAAAACUCCUUGGCCUAAUUUCUUAACGAUGCGAUUAGUGCGUAUCUCUGCAAGGAGUUAUUUAACUGAAACGGGCAUAGAGAUUGGUCUUUACAAAUUAUUCAGAAGUUAUUUAGAAAGAAAUAAUCUGUAAAGUAUUCAUUUUAGAGAUUAUCUGAACAGUUGAAAACUAAGAGGCUAUGUAUAGCUACUAUACUGUCUCAUGUUUUUACUUUACCAGGAUUACAGAAAAGAUAGAUUUAUUAGAAGCAAAAUGACUGUUUGUGAUGAUUUUGGUGUUGGAUCUAGUGUUACUUAUAUAAUCACAAAUGCAGAUGAUUAUUCUCUUCAUUUUCUCUUAUUGAGCUCCUGGUAUUUAUAAAACGUGUAUAAUGCAGAGCCAUGACAAGGGGGACAUUUUGGUGGUUUCGCAUGACCAAAUCCUAGUGGAGGAUGGUACACCAAGCCCAGUGAAUGCAGUAUAGCUAGACCAGCCCUCUAAAGCUGUGCUGUCCAAUAUGGUAUCCACCAGCCACCUGUGCCUGUUAAAAUUAAAAUUGAAAACUCAAUUCUUCAGCCACGUUUCAAGAGCUUAAUGGCUAUCGUGUUACACACUUCCAUCAUUGCAGCAAGGGUUUUUGGAAAGUGCUGCCCUAAAGAAUCCUGAAUUCACUGGGAAAUUGUCCCAGCUGUCCACACUUGAUCUCUGCAUUUUCACCCAGGAAAUAGGGUUCUGGGGUUACAUAGUCUCUAGGGUCCUCCCGUUUCUGAGAUUCUCAUCUCAGGCACUUUUGCUCAUACCUGGGGCCACAUCUGCAUGACAACUCUCAGAAAGGCUAUAUGGUGAGAAAGGCCGCCGUGUUGUGGAGAAAAUAUCUCGGAACUUAUAGAACCUGAAUUGAGUCCCAGCAUCAUCGGUGCAAGUUCCAUAACCCAGGAAAAGUCACUCAAUUACUUUGAGUCUCUACUCAUUUAUCAGAAAAAGGCACUGAGCUGAGUGAUCUCCAAGGCCUGCUUUACUCUAAAAGGUUACUGACUUUUAGAAAGACCCCUUGAUGCUGAGGUUGAAUCAACCAGAUUUUGGUAUUGUGUAGUCUAUGCUGUUUUCUUUGAAAACAUUCUGAAUUCUCACAACACCCAUUCAAGGAAGGUGAAACUUAUUACCAUUUUCCUUUCCAUGAAAGAUUUGCAGGAAUGGAGUCUGCCCUGCACCCAUUUGGAAGACAUGUGAAAAAUUGCCAGGCAAGCAGCUGUUUUCAAUAUAAAGAUUCUUAGCGUCUGUGUGCAGGGUAUCAGAAUGAUCAAAGUUUUCACUUUUAUUCCAGAAAUUUGGGUGUUUUCUUGACUUACCAUGUGAAAAAUACUUAGUUCAGUAUUUGAGUUUGAUCUUUAGCUUGUACACUAUGGCCUUUAAUUUUAAACAAGAUAGAACAAAAUUGUUUUAGUCAUUUCAUUUGGAGGUUUUGGCAUAAAUGUACCCAUCAGUGUGGUCUUUGUUCAAUUGACAUUAAAUGAUUAAUUGUGGAAUAUUUUCAUUUGGGGAGUUUAUCUAGAACUUUAGAAGACCAGUGCUGAAAUUCAGCAGAAGGGUCUAUAUACUCAUUCAAAUGAUAUCUAACGACCACUUUCUAUAUGUCAGGCACUAUUCUAAAGGGUGAACACUCAGCAAUGAACAAGAGAAACAAAAAGCUCUCUUCUAAAGGAGCUUCUAGUCUGUAAUAGACUCUCUAGUAGAGUUUCCAAAGCAUAUUUGAUGGAACUAGAUUUUCCAAGAUGUUAACAGAGAUUACGUAGGCAAACAAAGAUUGAGCUCAAAUAAGGUUAAGAAAUUGCGUACAAAGAAAAUUAAAAUUUUGUUUGUGUAUUGUUGUGGGAUUUCAGUUUUUUCUUUGCUGAGUGCAUUGUGAAUUU
Molecule: long non-coding RNA, 8423 nt
Filed under: Equus caballus (horse)
Lineage: Eukaryota; Metazoa; Chordata; Mammalia; Perissodactyla; Equidae
Description: lncRNA (ENSECAG00000052301.1)
Source: RNAcentral